Long non-coding RNA from Mya arenaria, 206 nucleotides. RefSeq lists it as uncharacterized. NCBI's taxonomy places the organism in Eukaryota, Metazoa, Mollusca, Bivalvia, Myida, Myidae. The record is from RefSeq and is a predicted model, not a curated record. The transcript has 3 exons.
GUUUAAGUUCAUCGAUAUGUUUGUUUAGAAAAGCUAUGAGGGAUUUUAUGUCUAUGGAGGUAGUCCGAUGGAACGUCAUUUGUUUACUGUUGACGAUUGCCGUCACUCAAGGUGAUUUGAUAUUUACAUCCGACAAACAGUAUGCACAACUACAUGGUACUAUAACGCUCACCUGCAACACAAGUGAAAGCGUUUCAGCGGUUGAG